RNAcentral lists this ribosomal RNA (472 nucleotides) under uncultured bacterium. RNAcentral describes it as "bacterial SSU rRNA". It matches the Rfam family "Bacterial small subunit ribosomal RNA", at positions 224 to 702 of the family's 1533-position model. The record is from RNAcentral.
AAGGGCUUUAUUUAGUAUUAUGGUAGUUGGUUAUGUUAAAAGCUAACCAAGCCUUAGAUGCUUAGCAGGCGUUUUAAACGAGUGAUUCUGGCCCACAACGGGCUUGAAAUAGUGCCUGAACAUUUUAUGGCAGCAGUAAAAGAAUCUUGGGCAAUGCAUUCAAGUGUGACUCAGCAAGUCUCCGUGGAUGAUGAAGAUAUUAAAUUAUAUUGUAAAAUUCUAUCUUUUUAUAUUUAUAAUGAAAUAUAAAAAGGAAAGCACAGGCUAAAUUCGUGCCAGCAGCCGCGGUAAUACGGAUUGUGCAAGUCUUUUGACCUCGUGACUAGGUGUAAAAGGCCACAUAGGAGGUUAUAUAAGUUAUUGAGUAAAUACAGGGUAUAAACCUUGGAAUCUCAAUAAAACUUUAUAACUAGAAUAUAAAAGGGGGUUUAAGAUAUCUUCUAAGUAAAGGUGAAAUUUGUAGAAAUAGAAG